This 92-nucleotide non-coding RNA is filed under the name Paraburkholderia terricola. Lineage: Bacteria; Pseudomonadati; Pseudomonadota; Betaproteobacteria; Burkholderiales; Burkholderiaceae. The record is from RNAcentral.
UUCAAUGGGCGGGCCUUGGUGGGGGCACCUUCGGGUGCGCCGGUUCCUUCGGUUGCCGGUCUGUCAACCCUGCCCUGUGCCCGCCCACCUCA